RNAcentral lists this non-coding RNA (45 nucleotides) under Echinostoma caproni. The record is from RNAcentral. Lineage: Eukaryota; Metazoa; Platyhelminthes; Trematoda; Plagiorchiida; Echinostomatidae.
GCACUGCUGACGAGUCCCGAACAGGACGAAACAGCUGUUUAGUGC